This 1334-nucleotide ribosomal RNA is filed under the name uncultured bacterium. Its description in RNAcentral is "bacterial SSU rRNA". It matches the Rfam family "Bacterial small subunit ribosomal RNA", at positions 8 to 866 of the family's 1533-position model. The record is from RNAcentral.
AGAGUUUGAUCCUGGCUCAGAUUGAACGCUGGCGGCAUGCCUUACACAUGCAAGUCGAACGGCAGCACGGGGGCAACCCUGGUGGCGAGUGGCGAACGGGUGAGUAAUACAUCGGAACGUGUCCUGUAGUGGGGGAUAGCCCGGCGAAAGCCGGAUUAAUACCGCAUACGAUCUACGGAAGAAAGCAGGGGAUCGCAAGACCUCGCGCUAUAGGGGCGGCCGAUGGCAGAUUAGCUAGUUGGUGGGGUAAAGGCCUACCAAGGCGACGAUCUGUAGCUGGUCUGAGAGGACGACCAGCCACACUGGGACUGAGACACGGCCCAGACUCCUACGGGAGGCAGCAGUGGGGAAUUUUGGACAAUGGGGGAAACCCUGAUCCAGCAAUGCCGCGUGUGUGAAGAAGGCCUUCGGGUUGUAAAGCACUUUUGUCCGGAAAGAAAACUUCUGCCCUAAUACGGUGGGAGGAUGACGGUACCGGAAGAAUAAGCACCGGCUAACUACGUGCCAGCAGCCGCGGUAAUACGUAGGGUGCGAGCGUUAAUCGGAAUUACUGGGCGUAAAGCGUGCGCAGGCGGUUCGUUAAGACAGAUGUGAAAUCCCCGGGCUUAACCUGGGAACUGCAUUUGUGACUGGCGAGCUAGAGUAUGGCAGAGGGGGGUAGAAUUCCACGUGUAGCAGUGAAAUGCGUAGAGAUGUGGAGGAAUACCGAUGGCGAASUGGUGGGGUAACGGCUCACCAAGGCGACGAUGUCUAGGGGUUCUGAGAGGAUUGUCCCCCACACUGGUACUGAGACACGGACCAGACUCCUACGGGAGGCAGCAGUAAGGAAUAUUGGGCAAUGGACGCAAGUCUGACCCAGCCAUGCCGCGUGAAGGAUGAAGGCCCUAUGGGUCGUAAACUUCUUUUGUACGGGAAAAACCCCCGGGUCGGGUAUCCGGGCUGAUGGUACCGUAAGAAUAAGGAUCGGCUAACUCCGUGCCAGCAGCCGCGGUAAUACGGAGGAUCCGAGCGUUAUCCGGAUUUAUUGGGUUUAAAGGGUGCGCAGGCGGAUAAAUAAGUCAGUGGUGAAAUCCUACGGCUCAACUGUAGAACUGCCAUUGAUACUGUUUAUCUUGAGUAUAGUUGGAGUGGGCGGAAUGUGUCAUGUAGCGGUGAAAUGCUUAGAUAUGACACAGAACACCGAUCGCGAAGGCAGCUCACUAAGCUAUAACUGACGCUCAGGCACGAAAGCGUGGGGAUCAAACAGGAUUAGAUACCCUGGUAGUCCACGCUGUAAACGAUGAUUACUCGAUGUUGGCGAUACACAGUCAGCGUCUGAGCGAAAGCAUUAAGUA